GAUGAACGCUGGCGGCGUGCUUAAUACAUGCAAGUCGAACGAACAGAUGAGGAGCUUGCUGCUCGGACGUUAGCGGCAGACGUGUGUGUAACACGUGGAUAAUCUACCUAUAUGACGGGGAUAACUUCGGGAAACCGGCGCUAAUACGGUAGAAUAUAUUGAACCAUAUGGUGGAAUAGUGUAAGACGGUGUUUCUGUAAGGUAUAGAGGGAUCCGCGCCGGAUUAGCUGGUUGUGAGGGUAAAGGGUUAUCACGGCAACGAUGCGUAAACGACGUGAGAGAGGGAUCGGCCACACUGGAACUGGGACAGCGUCCAUGCGCCUGAGGUAGGCAGCAGUAGGGAACCGUCCGCAGUGGGCGAGAGCCUGACGGAGCAGCGCCGCGUGAGUGGUGACGAUCUUGGGAUCGUGAAACUCUGUUAUUGGGGAAGAACAAAUGUGUAAGUAACUGUGCACGUCGUGACGGUACCUAGUCAGAAAGCCACGGCUAACUACGUG
This 497-nucleotide ribosomal RNA is filed under the name uncultured bacterium. Its description in RNAcentral is "partial 16S ribosomal RNA". It matches the Rfam family "Bacterial small subunit ribosomal RNA", at positions 28 to 507 of the family's 1533-position model. The record is from RNAcentral.